Bombus pascuorum is the source of this 2637-nucleotide long non-coding RNA. RefSeq lists it as uncharacterized. Lineage: Eukaryota; Metazoa; Arthropoda; Insecta; Hymenoptera; Apidae. The transcript has 3 exons. The record is from RefSeq and is a predicted model, not a curated record.
ACUCAUACUGUGGGUGAUAGUGAUAGUGUACUACGCAGCAAAGCUUGUAUUGCAGUGUGUCGUGUUUUGUGUAUUGCUUCUUUUACUUUAAACGAGAAAUGUCAACGAAACCAACUCUCAGUUCACUGAAACGUCAUCGCACUCUAAUUAAUGCAUCCCUCUCGAGGUUCAAUGCUUUCUGGCGUACUCAUGGAAGAAUUGCAUCAAUCGAAACGAUUUGUGAGUGGGUAGUGAAGAGUUCGUUAUUAAUUGAUGAUUAUAUGUUUAUUCAAGAACAAAUUCAUAGCUUCUUCAUAAAGGGAAGUGCGGAGGAACAAGCUCACAUUGCAUUAACGGACAGUUUUGAGGAACUUUUCUAUGAACUGAUGAACGAGGCUCAGCAAUGUAUAGAUUUUUAUAUGUUUCGAAAAGCCACUCGCUAUUAACAGCGAGAAUCGGCCAACUAAAAAUGAAUGCAUGUUCCGCAAUGUCUGCAGUCGCGGCUACGGUAAAAUUACCGUCUAUUCCACUGUCGUUCUCGCAUCACUUGCAUGUACUUCUGCGAUAGCGUCGAAUCGCUGAUCAAUCAAAACGAAUCCUUGAGCAACAUCUAACGAUUUCACCAUUUAUAUUUGACGAUAUACGAUAACGACAACUAUAAUGCCGCAUGGAAACUUUAGUAGAUUUGGAGAAUGUUUCUUGAACGGACAUACUAAACUCGAGCAAUGGUCAUUGAUAAUUACAAUGACACAAUCUCAUGGAGGGAUGAUCCUUUGCAGUCGAUCCAUGUUUACGAGUCCACAGAUGCGUUCUUAAAUUCUUUUCAGUGGAUCAUUGCACGCAGAGAAAUUUAGAAAUUAUUCUAUGUAAAUUAAAGAAAUUUAUUCUAAGAAUCGUGGAUAUUUAGUGGAUGCUAUUCGUAUCGCUACUUCAGAACAUUUUUGCUUCCGUACUAUGGUGGUGGUGGUGAAGGAGGGUUGCCAUCCGUCUUUACGUUGCAAAUUCGACCGUAUCACCGAGAUGUAUCGUGGCAAGGGUGAAGAGACCGACUUGUCAGACCGACAGUCUCAGAACAAGCUGAACAAUAUCCAAUCCUAUGCAUUCAACACAUAUACGGACGAAAGCGCAUGAGCGAAAGACACGGAUAGGAGUCGCAAGGCUGUGACACUCAGAAGACACCAAUGAUUCCUACUCGAUGCGCGUCCAUCAAAUUUUGUGCUUUCUACAAACCCCGAAGCUGUCCAUACGACUAUCAUCGUGAAGAGGUUGUAGAACUGCGGUUGAAUGAGAACCCCUUAAAAGGUCAAAAGUUCGUUCUCUUUGCGUGCACCCUGCGUGACAUCCUCGAGGGUCGCUAGUGCCGUUGCCUGGCAACGCUGCUUAUAUUCGACCAAUGAGCGAAGCAGAGAAAACAAGAAAGAAAAGGGAUAGAAAAUGGAUGGAAAAGAGAGGGGAAAAUAGGAUGGGGAGCCCCUUCCUUUCCUUUUUCUACCUCCACUCUCUUUUCCCGCAACUAGCUUUAUUUCUACGCACUACUCGACUCAUCGUCAAGCGCUAGAGUUCCCCUUCUUACUUUGAAGGAUGCCAGCCUUGUAUCCGAAAAACCACACUUCUGUCUUUGAAACUCCCGUACUUGCGCCGUGAAAGACCCCUGUUUCCUCCUUUGCAUUUGCUGCACCUUUUAGAAGAUUCAGGAGCGCUCGAAAGAGGGAACUUUAAUAUAUGCUUUCGUUCCGAGAUUGUUUGUGCACGUCCUUGGCUCUUUGCGCACGACUUUAUCAGAAUAUCGACGUCGUUGGAAAUCGCAAAAGUUCAACGAAAUAUUGAUUUUAUAGAACGUUGACAAAACAUUUCUUCGAAGAUACAAACCUAGCGAAUUAGAAUUGAAAGACACCUAGUUUUCACGCGUUUCCUCACCAGCUUCGAUUAUCGUCACGUAAUUGUCGCGCUCUGAUUACACUCGGUCGUCCAUUAAUUGUACGCAAAUUAUGCAGCAUACUUGAACCUAAAUUUAUGACUCGAAAUUGCACGUACGCAACAGCCGAUAGUUCGACGGUACAAAGCACCUAAUAAUUUCGCUCGGAAACGUAAUCGUGACAGGUGAUUUCUAAAAUAGAAAUGACAAGCUAGUGGUCUUAAAAUUCUAAAACGAAGAAUUAAAAUUCCAAGAACGAUGUAGUAAAUAUAGAAUUGAUUGUAAUUUAUCUUGUAUCAUUUCUAGAUCUUAGAGAAGAUGUUGAGCAUAAAUAAUGUUAAUGGUAACGUCAGACAAGAAUGACUGCGGUAGCGAUUGUUAUAUUCAAAUGGAGUAAAGAAAAAUAGGAAAUAAGAGUUAAGCUUAAUGUUCUACGACAACCGAAAAUACAAAAUUAUCAAAAUACAAAUAGUUAGACAAUAAAAAUAUCCACAUUAGAUAACGUAAAAGAUUGUAAGUUACAGUAGGAGACACGAAAUAUCCCAUUUUCAAUAUUGCGUCAUAUGCGUAGCAAACAGAGAUUAAUGUUUCGACAAUACCAGAAGUGAAUAUUUUUUACUCCGUUUCAAUAGUCUACAAUGUUCAUCUCGAAGAAAAAUUAUGGUAGUGUGAAGCAAUUACUGUUCUUGUUUUUCAUCAUUUUUCUGACACUUAAUUAGCACGUAAAUACCUUAUUAUGAACA